Vigna angularis (adzuki bean) is the source of this 892-nucleotide long non-coding RNA. RefSeq lists it as uncharacterized. The record is from RefSeq and is a predicted model, not a curated record. NCBI's taxonomy places the organism in Eukaryota, Viridiplantae, Streptophyta, Magnoliopsida, Fabales, Fabaceae. The transcript is spliced from 2 exons.
GGAGCACGUGCUCCACAGCUGCUGCAUUUCCUGCUUUCGAGAUGCUAUCAACACUUUCAUCACAUCGUCGAUUGAAGCUUUCUCCACCAUGCUCGCAAGUUGUUUCUGUCCAUCAACGAGUUCAAAGAAGAAGAGGAGGAGAAAAAUGGCUGGAUGCCUUCUCUUAUUUAAUUUAAUCUUUAUUUUUUCUAUCUAUUUUUUGUUUUCUCAACUUAUUUCGUCCUUUAUCUUUCCUCUAAAUCAAGCAUAUAAUUAAUGUUAAGUUUUAUCAUACAAAUUAUCCUUGAAGUUAUAGCUUUAAUUACAUAACAAUAUGAAAAAUAUUUAUUAAAUUAUAUGUAAACUUUAUCUGAUUAUUAAAUUUGCCCUUAAAAUGGUUGGCAGUGAAAAACUGAAGAAACGAGUGUCAAAGAAAAUGAGGAAAUCAUAUAAUUUAUUUUUGGUUUAGAAAGAGGUUUAACUUGUUGAAACAUUAUGUAAGUUGGUUCUUAAAGUAAGAAAAUAUGCAUUCGAACAAGUAAUGUUUCAGGCAGAAAAGGAUCAGGAAACUCAAUCUAUUUAUAAUGCCAUGCAAACUGCCAGUUUAUCAGAGAAAACAGCGGGUUGGUGAGUUUUCUAUGAAGAGUUUUGGAAAUUUUAAGAUUGUUUUUGCUGCAAAAUGAAAAAAUAGAGGGAAGAGAAAAUCUAAUAAUAGAUAUUUUGCUAAAGUAAUGUAGGAGCAGCAAAUUCUUUUAAGUUUUAAUUAGCUUGUUCUCUUUUCACCCAAAUGAGGAAAGGAAAUGAUUUGGAGUGCUCGCUAUGGGGAAGACAAGAUUGAUGUAUAUUUAUUUAUUAUCUUGAUUUGGGAAAUGCAUCAUAAAGGGUCAAGAAUGUUUCUCAAAUAUACUACAUG